AUACCGGGGUGUGGGCAUUUCUUAAUAAGCGAUUUGAAGUGUUCCCAUGCUUCAUAUAAAUUCUCACCUUCGAAUUGCUUAAAAUUAGCAAUGUCGCGCCU
This 101-nucleotide small nucleolar RNA is filed under the name Gossypium hirsutum (cotton). Its description in RNAcentral is "Plant small nucleolar RNA R71". It matches the Rfam family "Plant small nucleolar RNA R71". Rfam says of the family: R71 is a member of the C/D box family of snoRNAs containing the C (UGAUGA) and D (CUGA) box motifs. Multiple nearly identical copies of this snoRNA have been identified in Arabidopsis, and it is thought to function as a 2'-O-ribose methylation guide for 18S ribosomal RNA. The record is from Rfam by way of RNAcentral. Lineage: Eukaryota; Viridiplantae; Streptophyta; Magnoliopsida; Malvales; Malvaceae.